GUGGUGAGUUCUUUAACCAGCUAUCCCACUAGCCUUCCACUGUGUGUCCAUCACCGCUCCCAUUGCCCAUGGACAGACUCCAUUCCUCAGCCUUCUGACAUAUUUACACAGCAGUGGUUCUCCAGGGAGCUUCCAAGUCCUGAGAGUUGGACUGGGGCUGCCUCACUGCUCUCUCUUGUUCUAAGGCUUCCAGCAUCAGACACUGUGAAGGUACUUGGUGCUGACACCCACUGAUGGACUACCCAGCCUCCAGUUGUGUAAUUCGGCCUAAUAAAUUCCCCUUUACAUAAGUAACAGCCGGCUACUGAUGCUGUUUCUCUAAAGAAUCCUGGCUAACACACCGUCCCAACAGAUCACUAGUUGCAAAGACUGAACACAAGGUAGAAACAUAGAGUUAGCAAAGACCUGGAGCCAUAGCCACGCGGCCUUGCUACUUCUUUAUCCUAGCCACAGAGCUACAGGGAAGGCAGACAAAAAAGGAACCCUCUGGGUGCACUGUUUUGAUUCUGAACGGAGGCUGUGCCUUGUGGCUGCUCCCUGGUGGACAGCCAAACUCUGCCAGCCCCAGCUGAGAUACCACUUACCAGCUGGGGAUCUUCAGGGGCAGGGCCUGUGCAACAUGUUUACAAGCUGUGUGGCUAUUAGCAACAUCUUAUAGCUCCAGCUAAUUAACCGGAGAGUGGCUGAUGAAGCCCGGCUCUAAAGAGGGCCAAAUUGCAUCAGUGUUUGGGCUUAAAUUGAUACCAAAAAAAUAGCUCGCUCCAGGUGUGUUCCCCAGGCAGGUGGCUUGUUUGCUGAGCUUCACUUCCAGUAGGUCCCAAAGUGGCCAGGGUGUCAGGGUUAUGAGUUGAUUAAGGUCAUUUAAAUCGGCUAAGCGCUAAGUGUAGCUGGCGUUUCAGCCCACUGGUAAAGACUGUGUGUGUGCACCAACCUGGCAGAAUCUACCCCAGAAGCAUCCUGGACACUAGGUUACUACAAAGUGAAACGGGUAGAGACUCAUAAUAUAUUCCCAGCUUCCUCUCCAAGACACAUAUUUUCCUUUAAAACGCCCACAUUAUUCAAGCUGGGGGUAAAAGCUCCUCUUAUUUGAUCACGACAUCUCUUCAUGCUGGCAUUUCUAACUCAGUGUGAGUUGAGUUUCUUAAAAUUGUAUUUCUUUAAAAACACCCGUGAAUACUGUAGUAGUUGAAACUAGAAAUGGUCCCCCAUUGUCUUGAGCAUUUGACAAUUGAUCUUCCCCUAGUCGGUUGUGCUGUUUCGGGAGGUUCAGGUGACACAACCUUGCUGGAGGAAGUUACGUCACUGGGGGCGGGCUCUGAGAGUAAACAGUCUCCGCCACUUCCGGUUCAUUCUCCCUGCCCUGUGCGUAACCAUUCGAGACCUGAACUCUCAGCAUCCAGUUCCUGAGGCCAUGCUUGCUGUUUGCUGCCACUUCUUCCCACCAUAGGACUCUCGUAGGUCGCCCUUGGGCUAUUGGUUCUAUCCCACUUUGAGUAGUGAUAGAAGAAGACUUUGAAUCUGUCACUUCUUCCCCCGGGGCUGGUGAUAACUGGGUGACCAGAAGUCACAAAGGAAGAUGGAAAGCGCCCAAUGGCAGUCUCCAGCUCCUGCACUGAGAGGUUGCUGGACCUGUCUUACUUGGGGGACACUUUGAGAGAGGAGGGAGUGGGGGCACAGACCAGAUAUGUUAACUAGGAGACACUGAGGCCACUGGUCCACACAAGGAGCACAUUCGAGACAGCCAAGUGCUAGACAAACCUGACAGCAGCCAAUAACAGCAGCUGACACUUCUUAACUAGAAACAACCACUGUGCUGCCGAAACUGUACCUGUGUUUUAUACGGUCAUCUGUUUAAUCUCUUCCUUAGAAUUCAUGAAGGGAGAAGACAGCCUUGUACAAAGUAAGUAAUGAGGGAAGUCAUGCGGCCUGUAAGAAGUAGUUAAACUUCAAACCCAUGUCCUUUCGACUGUUUUGAUGACUUUGUAAAUGCCGACUUGGGUGACAUAGAAUCUACUGAGGAGAGAGGGAUUGCCUAGAUUAGGUUGGACUCUGGGCAGGUCCUGGGGAUUGUCUUGUUUGUUAACUGGUGUUGACAGACACAGCCCACUGUGGGCGGCACUUAUCCCUUAGGCAGGGAGUCCUGAACUACAUGGGACAGGAGAAAGCUAGAGAAAGCAAGCGGGCAGCACAAGGACAUUUGCUCUCUCUGACAUUAACUUUGUAUGUGUGGAUAGCUGUUUUAAAUCCCUGUCUUGAUUUCUCCUCAGUAAAGAAAGGCAGCCUGGAACUGAAAACAGAAAUGAACCCCUUCCCUCCCCCAAGGUACAUUUGGUCAGGAUAAUUCAUCACAGCAAUGGGCAUGAAACUAUAAGAGCUGCUUGAUUCUUUGCUCCUGCUGCUUUUUUAAAAAGUUUUAUACUAGUGCAUAUUUAUUCCACAUGACAAGAGGAUUCAUGAUGACAUUCCGUGCAUGUAUGUUGCAUCAUCCUGGUUGUUUUCAGCAUCACACCAAGUCCUUUCAAACAGCGGAACAGAUCUCUGGCCCUGUCUCAAUGAAUGGGGACUUCGGGACACUUCUUGGGCCAAAUUACCACUCAUCCCAUGGACUCUAGCUCCCUGUUUCUAUAGCCUUUUCUCUAGAAGAAGAUCUCAGCCAUACUGGGAUGCUGAUGAUAAUUGAAAUUCAGAAGAAGUCAUGAAUCAAAGCAACAUGUAGCCAUUGCCUUGAGCUGGUAUAAUCUAAACCCAAACCCUGUCUGGUCAUAUCUCAGCCCCCUUGACCCUUCGUGCUACAGGUGAUCUGAAUGAAACUCUCCUGUCUUCCCAGAAGGAUAACAGCGAAGGGUAAAACAAUUGAACACUUUCUAGAGGCUUCUGGCCUUAGAGCUUCCUGGAAGUCCCAGUGAAGGUAGAAUGGUUUUCGUAACUGUUGCAGUUGGUCUGCUUGCUGUCUUACCCUCAGGCCAUGGUUACAUGUAGUUUUCCUGUGGUAGUUUGUAAUUGGCACCCGUAGGCCCAUAGGGAAUGAUACUAUUAGGAGGUGUGGCCUUGUUGGAGUGGGUGUGGCUUUGUUGGGUGGGUGUGGCCUCGUUGGAGAGUAAGUGUGUCACUGUAGAGGUCGGCUUUGGGGUCUUACAUAUGCUCAAGCCAUAGCCAGUGGAGCAGUCUCCUGCUGCCUUCGGAUCAUGGCGUAGAACUCUCAGCUCCUCCUGCAUCAUGUUUGCCUGCAUGCCACCAUGCUUCCCACAGUGACGAUAAUGGACUGAGUUUCUAACAUUGUAAGCCAGCCCCAAUUACAUGUCCUUUAUAAGA
RNAcentral lists this small RNA (3312 nucleotides) under Rattus norvegicus (Norway rat). RNAcentral describes it as "uncharacterized LOC102554018". Lineage: Eukaryota; Metazoa; Chordata; Mammalia; Rodentia; Muridae. The record is from RNAcentral.